This 142-nucleotide ribosomal RNA is filed under the name Salmonella enterica. RNAcentral describes it as "partial 16S ribosomal RNA". It matches the Rfam family "Bacterial small subunit ribosomal RNA", at positions 1 to 136 of the family's 1533-position model. Lineage: Bacteria; Pseudomonadati; Pseudomonadota; Gammaproteobacteria; Enterobacterales; Enterobacteriaceae. RNAcentral also lists the same sequence under 1 other name. The record is from RNAcentral.
AAAUUGAAGAGUUUGAUCAUGGCUCAGAUUGAACGCUGGCGGCAGGCCUAACACAUGCAAGUCGAACGGUAACAGGAAGUAGCUUGCUGCUUCGCUGACGAGUGGCGGACGGGUGAGUAAUGUCUGGGAAACUGCCUGAUGG